RNAcentral lists this non-coding RNA (1274 nucleotides) under Caenorhabditis japonica. RNAcentral's name for it is "Eukaryotic large subunit ribosomal RNA". It matches the Rfam family "Eukaryotic large subunit ribosomal RNA", at positions 752 to 1985 of the family's 3401-position model. Lineage: Eukaryota; Metazoa; Nematoda; Chromadorea; Rhabditida; Rhabditidae. The record is from Rfam by way of RNAcentral.
GGCGCACCACGGCCCUAUGCGUGUCACUUGUGACUGUGUAGAGGUUGAGCAGUAGGCAAGCGACCCGAAAGAUGGUGAACUAUGCCUGAGCAGGAUGAAGCCAGAGGAAACUCUGGUGGAAGUCCGUAUCGGUUCUGACGUGCAAAUCGAUCGAUAGACUUGGGUAUAGGGGCGAAAGACUAAUCGAACCAUCUAGUAGCUGGUUCCUUCCGAAGUUUCCCUCAGGAUAGCUGGAACUCUUGCAGUUAUAUUCGGUAAAGCUAAUGAUUAGAGGCCUUGGGGACGUAAUGUCCUCAACCUAUUCUCAAACUUUCAAUGGAUAUGGCGUCGCAGUUUCUUUAGUGAACUGCGGCGUGAAUGCGAGUUCCAAGUGGGCCAUUUUUGGUAAGCAGAACUGGCGCUGUGGGAUGAACCAAACGUGGAGUUAAGGUGCCUAACUUCUCGCUUAUGAGACCCCAUAAAAGGUGUUGGUUGAUAUUGACAGCAGGACGGUGGCCAUGGAAGUCGGUACCCGCUAAGGAGUGUGUAACAACUCACCUGCCGAAUCAACUAGCCCUGAAAAUGGAUGGCGCUUAAGCGAGAGACCUAUACUCCGCCGUCGCGGCAUGUGCGUUGUCUAGCGCCAGGUCGCGACGAGUAGGAAGGACGUGGCGGUUGCGUUGAAGGCUAUGAGCGUAGGCUCGGCUGGAGCUUCCGUCAGUGCAGAUCGUAAUGGUAGUAGCAAAUAUUCAAGUUCGAUCCUUGAAGUACUGAAGUGGAGAAGGGUUCCACGUGAACAGUAGUUGGAUGUGGGUCAGUCGAUCCUAAGGUACUGGCGAAAGCCUUGUAUCAUCGGUGGCGAAAGCUUGCUUUUGUCCCCGCCCGUCGAAAGGGAAUAGGGUUAAAUAUUCCCUAAACUGAGAUGCAAAGAUUGUGUUCUUCGGAGCACAAGCGCGGUAACGCGUUCGAACUUGGUAAGUCGCUCAGAGACCGAGCUAGAGUUUUCUUCUCUAGUUAAGGAACGGACUCCCUGGAAUUGGUUCAGCCAGAGAUGGGGACGUUGUUUCCGAAAAGCACCGCGGUUUCUGUGGUGUCUCGUGCUCUCUGAACGGCCCUUUAAACACCAAGGGAGGCUAUUAAUUUGCACUCAAUCGUACCGAUAUCCGCAUUAGGUCUCCAAGGUGAACAGCCUCUAGUCGAUAGAAUAAUGUAGGUAAGGGAAGUCGGCAAACUAGAUCCGUAACUUCGGGAAAAGGAUUGGCUCCAGUGGUCGGAACGGUUGGCCAGUUGGUUGA